RNAcentral lists this long non-coding RNA (1182 nucleotides) under Mizuhopecten yessoensis (Yesso scallop). RNAcentral describes it as "uncharacterized LOC110458048". The record is from RNAcentral. Lineage: Eukaryota; Metazoa; Mollusca; Bivalvia; Pectinida; Pectinidae.
UGUCGUCUUAAUGAGGAACUAAAAUUCUAGAAUGAAUUCUAGAAUUCAUUCUAGAAUUUUAGUUCUCAUUAAGACAACAGCCGGCGCUUAAAUCGCCAACGAAAUUCGCGGAAAAUAAUGCUCGCUCCCUUAAACCGGAAACAUACCCGAUUGUGGCAGUAGAUUUUGGAAAAUGCAGUCGACAGUGCGGUCUGGUUCGGUCAGCAUGAAGUGUUAUGAAGUGCCAGUUUGCCAACCUGAUCACUGGUUUUUGACAGCAGACCGUCUACUUCCUUGAUACCUGAACAACUCCUACAGUGAAGAGGCAUUUCCUGAACAAUGGAGCGACAUCCUCGAGACACAAUAACAGAAGCUUUCUAAAGACAUGCAAACCAUGAGAUGGAAACUUGCUUUGUAAUUCACUACCAGUGACUGGCAGUCCUGAAACAGAAUGUCCAACUUUUCUUGGCAAAUCCAGACCUACCAUCAGGAUGCAGUGUCAUGUAAGACACUGCAAGAGCUUUGUCUUUCUGGGAUUCCUAAGCCUUUGAAUGGAGAAAACAAGACAUUGCUGCAUAUAUGACGAUGAAAAUACCAUAUUGUUGGACAUUAAUUAAAAAGAGCAUUGACCAAUGACAUGUAUACCGUGGCUAGUGAUUGAUAAUUGUUGUGAUUUUUCUGAUUUGGCCAUACAGUCAGAAUGAAGGAAAGACAAAUAUCAUGGUUCAUGAACUUCAGAUACACUUUUAAGCUCCUCUGGUACAAACUGUCAUAAUCUUAUGGUAUAGUGAAGUGUCUGUCAUAAGUCUGUCUGUCAACUUUUUCUUUAAAUUACUUUUUUAAAUUGAAAAUCACAGGGCCCUUAUAUUUGGUCAGCAAGUACUUGGGAUAAAUACUUUAAAGUUUCAUCAUGUAGAUUACCUUGACCUUCUUUCAAGGUCACAGGUGUCCAAAACAGGCAUCAGUUUCUUAAAAACUGGUCUUGAGUCAUGAUAUUUCAUGAUGAUUAUAUUUUAUUCAGUAUUCCUUUGCAUUGCUUUGUUUAAAAAAUAUUUUUUUCAAAUUGUUCCAUCAAAUAUAUGUACAUGUAUGUAGAUAUAUGUAAUGACAGCAUACUUGUUGAUAACUUUGUCGUAGCGAUUGUUUUGUUAACUUUUAUGCAUAUUGAUAUUUUUUUAUGAAAUUAAAUCAUUGUUUAUCUUC